CUAGCUACAGGCUUAACACAUGCAAGUCGAGGGGCAGCAUGGUCUUAGCUUGCUAAGGCCGAUGGCGACCGGCGCACGGGUGAGUAACACGUAUCCAACCUGCCGUCUACUCUUGGACAGCCUUCUGAAAGGAAGAUUAAUACAAGAUGGCAUCAUGAGUCCGCAUGUUCACAUGAUUAAAGGUAUUCCGGUAGACGAUGGGGAUGCGUUCCAUUAGAUAGUAGGCGGGGUAACGGCCCACCUAGUCUUCGAUGGAUAGGGGUUCUGAGAGGAAGGUCCCCCACAUUGGAACUGAGACACGGUCCAAACUCCUACGGGAGGCAGCAGUGAGGAAUAUUGGUCAAUGGGCGAGAGCCUGAACCAGCCAAGUAGCGUGAAGGAUGACUGCCCUAUGGGUUGUAAACUUCUUUUAUAAAGGAAUAAAGUCGGGUAUGGAUACCCGUUUGCAUGUACUUUAUGAAUAAGGAUCGGCUAACUCCGUGCCAGCAGCCGCGGUAAUACGGAGGAUCCGAGCGUUAUCCGGAUUUAUUGGGUUUAAAGGGAGCGUAGAUGGAUGUUUAAGUCAGUUGUGAAAGUUUGCGGCUCAACCGUAAAAUUGCAGUUGAUACUGGAUAUCUUGAGUGCAGUGAGGGCAGGCGGAAUUCGUGGUGUAGCGGUGAAAUGCUUAGAUAUCACGAAGAACUCCGAUUGCGAAGGCAGCCUGCUAAGCUGCAACUGACAUUGAGGCUCGAAAGUGUGGGUAUCAAACAGGAUUAGAUACCCUGGUAGUCCACACGGUAAACGAUGAAUACUCGCUGUUUGCGAUAUACUGCAAGCGGCCAAGCGAAAGCGUUAAGUAUUCCACCUGGGGAGUACGCCGGCAACGGUGAAACUCAAAGGAAUUGACGGGGGCCCGCACAAGCGGAGGAACAUGUGGUUUAAUUCGAUGAUACGCGAGGAACCUUACCCGGGCUUAAAUUGCAGAUGAAUUACGGUGAAAGCCGUAAGCCGCAAGGCAUCUGUGAAGGUGCUGCAUGGUUGUCGUCAGCUCGUGCCGUGAGGUGUCGGCUUAAGUGCCAUAACGAGCGCAACCCUUGUUGUCAGUUACUAACAGGUUCCGCUGAGGACUCUGACAAGACUGCCAUCGUAAGAUGUGAGGAAGGUGGGGAUGACGUCAAAUCAGCACGGCCCUUACGUCCGGGGCUACACACGUGUUACAAUGGGGGGUACAGAGGGCCGCUACCACGCGAGUGGAUGCCAAUCCCCAAAACCUCUCUCAGUUCGGACUGGAGUCUGCAACCCGACUCCACGAAGCUGGAUUCGCUAGUAAUCGCGCAUCAGCCACGGCGCGGUGAAUACGUUCCCGGGCCUUGUACACACCGCCCGUCAAGCCAUGGGAGCCGGGGGUACCUGAAGUGCGUAACCGCGAGGAGCGCCCUAGGGUAAAACUG
This 1430-nucleotide ribosomal RNA is filed under the name uncultured organism. RNAcentral describes it as "SSU rRNA". It matches the Rfam family "Bacterial small subunit ribosomal RNA". The record is from RNAcentral.